GAUGAAUGCUGGCGGCGUGCCUAACACAUGCAAGUCGAACGAUGAAGCUGGAGCUUGCUCUAGCGGAUUAGUGGCGAACGGGUGAGUAACACGUGAGCAAUCUGCCCUUGACUCUGGGAUAACUGCGGGAAACUGUAGCUAAUACCGGAUACUUUCACCGGGGGGCAUCCUCUGGUGAUGAAAGAAUUUCGGUCAAGGAUGAGCUCGCGGCCUAUCAGCUUGUUGGUGAGGUAACGGCUCACCAAGGCGACGACGGGUAACCGGCCUGAGAGGGUGACCGGUCACACUGGGACUGAGACACGGCCCAGACUCCUACGGGAGGCAGCAGUGGGGAAUAUUGCACAAUGGGCGCAAGCCUGAUGCAGCAACGCCGCGUGAGGGAUGAAGGCCUUCGGGUUGUAAACCUCUUUUAGCAGGGAAGAAGCGAAAGUGACGGUACCUGCAGAAAAAGCACCGGCUAACUACGUGCCAGCCGCCGCAGUAA
This 484-nucleotide ribosomal RNA is filed under the name uncultured bacterium. RNAcentral's name for it is "partial 16S ribosomal RNA". It matches the Rfam family "Bacterial small subunit ribosomal RNA", at positions 28 to 523 of the family's 1533-position model. The record is from RNAcentral.